CUACGGGUCGCUGCAGUAACGAAUAUUGCACAAUGAACGAAAGUUUGAUGCAGCAAUGCCGCGUGUAGGAUGAAGCCCCUCGGGGUGUAAACUACUGUCAGGGACUAGAAAGUGCGCUUCGGCGUAUUGAUCAAUCCCAGAGGAAGCCACGGCUAACUUCGUGCCAGCAGCCGCGGUAAUACGAAGGUGGCGAGCGUUGUUCGGAAUCACUGGGCUUAAAGCGCGCGUAGGCGGAAUAUCAAGUGUCUUGUGAAAGCCCCCGGCUUAACCGGGGAAUUGCUCGGCAAACUGAUAUUCUUGAGGGAAGUAGGGGUACAUGGAACUCUUAGUGGAGCGGUGGAAUGCGUAGAUAUUAAGAGGAACGCAAAUGGUGAAGACAGUGUACUGGGCUUGUCCUGACGCUGAGGUGCGAAAGCGUGGGGAGCGAACGGGAUUAGAUACCCGCGUAGUC
RNAcentral lists this ribosomal RNA (451 nucleotides) under uncultured bacterium. RNAcentral's name for it is "partial 16S ribosomal RNA". It matches the Rfam family "Bacterial small subunit ribosomal RNA", at positions 339 to 795 of the family's 1533-position model. The record is from RNAcentral.